This 2931-nucleotide ribosomal RNA is filed under the name Klebsiella aerogenes. Its description in RNAcentral is "23S ribosomal RNA". It matches the Rfam family "Bacterial large subunit ribosomal RNA". Lineage: Bacteria; Pseudomonadati; Pseudomonadota; Gammaproteobacteria; Enterobacterales; Enterobacteriaceae. The record is from RNAcentral.
GGGUUGUGAGGUUAAGCGACUAAGCGUACACGGUGGAUGCCCUGGCAGUCAGAGGCGAUGAAGGACGUGCUAAUCUGCGAAAAGCGUCGGUAAGGUGAUAUGAACCGUUACAGCCGGCGAUGUCCGAAUGGGGAAACCCAGUGCAAUUCGUUGCACUAUCGUUAACUGAAUACAUAGGUUAACGAGGCGAACCGGGGGAACUGAAACAUCUAAGUACCCCGAGGAAAAGAAAUCAACCGAGAUUCCCCCAGUAGCGGCGAGCGAACGGGGAGCAGCCCAGAGUCUGAAUCAGCUUGUGUGUUAGUGGAACGGUCUGGAAAGUCCGACGGUACAGGGUGAUAGUCCCGUACACCAAAAUGCACAGGUUGUGAACUCGAAGAGUAGGGCGGGACACGUGGUAUCCUGUCUGAAUAUGGGGGGACCAUCCUCCAAGGCUAAAUACUCCUGACUGACCGAUAGUGAACCAGUACCGUGAGGGAAAGGCGAAAAGAACCCCGGCGAGGGGAGUGAAAAAGAACCUGAAACCGUGUACGUACAAGCAGUGGGAGCACCUUCGGGUGUGACUGCGUACCUUUUGUAUAAUGGGUCAGCGACUUAUAUUCUGUAGCAAGGUUAACCGUAUAGGGGAGCCGCAGGGAAACCGAGUCUUAACUGGGCGUUAAGUUGCAGGGUAUAGACCCGAAACCCGGUGAUCUAGCCAUGGGCAGGUUGAAGGUUGGGUAACACUAACUGGAGGACCGAACCGACUAAUGUUGAAAAAUUAGCGGAUGACUUGUGGCUGGGGGUGAAAGGCCAAUCAAACCGGGAGAUAGCUGGUUCUCCCCGAAAGCUAUUUAGGUAGCGCCUCGUGAACUCAUCUUCGGGGGUAGAGCACUGUUUCGGCUAGGGGGUCAUCCCGACUUACCAACCCGAUGCAAACUACGAAUACCGAAGAAUGUUAUCACGGGAGACACACGGCGGGUGCUAACGUCCGUCGUGAAGAGGGAAACAACCCAGACCGCCAGCUAAGGUCCCAAAGUCACAGUUAAGUGGGAAACGAUGUGGGAAGGCACAGACAGCCAGGAUGUUGGCUUAGAAGCAGCCAUCAUUUAAAGAAAGCGUAAUAGCUCACUGGUCGAGUCGGCCUGCGCGGAAGAUGUAACGGGGCUAAACUGUGCACCGAAGCUGCGGCAGCGACACUAUGUGUUGUUGGGUAGGGGAGCGUUCUGUAAGCCUGCGAAGGUGGCCUGUGAGGGUUGCUGGAGGUAUCAGAAGUGCGAAUGCUGACAUAAGUAACGAUAAUGCGGGUGAAAAGCCCGCACGCCGGAAGACCAAGGGUUCCUGUCCAACGUUAAUCGGGGCAGGGUGAGUCGACCCCUAAGGCGAGGCCGAAAGGCGUAGUCGAUGGGAAACAGGUUAAUAUUCCUGUACUUGGUGUUACUGCGAAGGGGGGACGGAGAAGGCUAUGUUAGCCGGGCGACGGUUGUCCCGGUUUAAGCAUGUAGGCGGAGGUUCCAGGUAAAUCCGGUACCUUUUAACGCUGAGGUGUGAUGACGAGGCACUACGGUGCUGAAGUAACAAAUGCCCUGCUUCCAGGAAAAGCCUCUAAGCAUCAGGUAACAUUAAAUCGUACCCCAAACCGACACAGGUGGUCAGGUAGAGAAUACCAAGGCGCUUGAGAGAACUCGGGUGAAGGAACUAGGCAAAAUGGUGCCGUAACUUCGGGAGAAGGCACGCUGAUAUGUAGGUGAAGCCCCUGCGGGUGGAGCUGAAAUCAGUCGAAGAUACCAGCUGGCUGCAACUGUUUAUUAAAAACACAGCACUGUGCAAACACGAAAGUGGACGUAUACGGUGUGACGCCUGCCCGGUGCCGGAAGGUUAAUUGAUGGGGUUAUCCGUAAGGAGAAGCUCUUGAUCGAAGCCCCGGUAAACGGCGGCCGUAACUAUAACGGUCCUAAGGUAGCGAAAUUCCUUGUCGGGUAAGUUCCGACCUGCACGAAUGGCGUAAUGAUGGCCAGGCUGUCUCCACCCGAGACUCAGUGAAAUUGAACUCGCUGUGAAGAUGCAGUGUACCCGCGGCAAGACGGAAAGACCCCGUGAACCUUUACUAUAGCUUGACACUGAACAUUGAGCCUUGAUGUGUAGGAUAGGUGGGAGGCUUUGAAGCGUGGACGCCAGUCUGCGUGGAGCCAACCUUGAAAUACCACCCUUUAAUGUUUGAUGUUCUAACGUUGGCCCCUUAUCGGGGUUGCGGACAGUGUCUGGUGGGUAGUUUGACUGGGGCGGUCUCCUCCCAAAGAGUAACGGAGGAGCACGAAGGUUAGCUAAUCUUGGUCGGACAUCAGGAGGUUAGUGCAAUGGCAUAAGCUAGCUUGACUGCGAGCGUGACGGCGCGAGCAGGUGCGAAAGCAGGUCAUAGUGAUCCGGUGGUUCUGAAUGGAAGGGCCAUCGCUCAACGGAUAAAAGGUACUCCGGGGAUAACAGGCUGAUACCGCCCAAGAGUUCAUAUCGACGGCGGUGUUUGGCACCUCGAUGUCGGCUCAUCACAUCCUGGGGCUGAAGUAGGUCCCAAGGGUAUGGCUGUUCGCCAUUUAAAGUGGUACGCGAGCUGGGUUUAGAACGUCGUGAGACAGUUCGGUCCCUAUCUGCCGUGGGCGCUGGAGAAUUGAGGGGGGCUGCUCCUAGUACGAGAGGACCGGAGUGGACGCAUCACUGGUGUUCGGGUUGUCAUGCCAAUGGCAUUGCCCGGUAGCUAAAUGCGGAAGAGAUAAGUGCUGAAAGCAUCUAAGCACGAAACUUGCCCCGAGAUGAGUUCUCCCUGAGACUUUAAGUCUCCUGAAGGAACGUUAAAGACGAUGACGUUGAUAGGUCGGGUGUGUAAGCGUAGCGAUACGUUGAGCUAACCGAUACUAAUGAACCGUGAGGCUUAACCUUACAACGCCGAAGGUGUUU